Culex pipiens pallens (northern house mosquito) is the source of this 1794-nucleotide long non-coding RNA. RefSeq lists it as uncharacterized. The transcript has 3 exons. The record is from RefSeq and is a predicted model, not a curated record. Lineage: Eukaryota; Metazoa; Arthropoda; Insecta; Diptera; Culicidae.
CUUAAUGAGCCAGUAGUAUUUCGGGAACAUAAAGUUUGGAGACUUUAGGUAGUAUUUUCAUUAAAUAUGGAAUAUUAUUUAUUUGAAAGUAUAUUUUAGUUUGGGGUAUUGAUUGAGAUUUGAGUGUUAGGAUGAAUGAAUGAGGAAUGUCAACCACUAGUCAUAGUCAAACUGUUAGUCUUGGAUUGUUCAACAAGUUGUUUUUCUGGGAGAAUUUAGAGAUGAAAGCCUGUAAAGUAAAUGACCGAAAAAGAAAGUAUCCAUGAUUAGGUUAUAAAAUUUUUGCACUAGCAUUUUGUUGAGGAUUUCUGAACGUUCGCUGGAGACCGGAGUGAAGACGUUGAUGGUCAGUAACAAGCAUUUUCUGUGAUGGAUCAUGACUUGGAAAUAGAGAUGGAGGUUACUUGUAACCGAUGAUCAUAUAUGACCCCGAACUGUUGAAGAAUCUUUCGCAAUUUGUUUUUAGUGAAAUGUAAUAAAUGUGUAGUUGUUAGUUUUCGGUUUUUCGUAAGAUUUCCCCUUACGAAAAUUCAGUUAACACUGAAUUUUCGUAAUUUAAGCAUGGAGUGAUGUAACAGUUGGCCUGUUUGGCAAAAUUAUUUAUUUAUUUGUUUGAAUGUUAAAUGUUAUUUAUUUACAUUUUGCGAUAAAAUCCGUGUAGUCAAACUCCGCUUGCACUCUUCGGUAAACAUCUCUGUAGUAUUCACCACGGUAACUCAACCUGUUUUGGACCGAUUGCGUUAAGACCCGGAGAGAGACUCUUGAGAGAGAUGAGCCGAUAUUGAACUACCUCAGUGAGAGAACACCACAGCUAGACCCGAGAACACAGUGGCUAAAAAGGGAUGGGGAGUUCGCUACUUCUGUCGCACGCAGUUACCCAGAGAGCAUCUCAAGGAAUGACGUAAUUCCGGUCAAACCGCUUGAGCGUCCGUUGCGACCUUCCCUAUUCUGAGGACUCCAGGGCUCGUUCACUUUGUCCCCAGCUAUCAACGAGAGUGGAAGUGCGCGUUUUGUACCGCGAGUUUUUUGGCUUUUUGUACAAAAUUUUCCCGUAUAGUUAUUUUGUGUGUGCGCUAGCUAAAGUAAUUUGUCGUGUGCGAACAGGAGCUAGAAGGAGAAAAGGAGUUCGCCCGUUAGCAACAGCGCUAACCAUCCCGCAGCAGCACCAGUCCAGCAGCAGCGCGAACACACGAGCAGCAGAGCAGAGGAAAACGGAGACGAAGUUCCCCGCGCACCGUACUUCUCGUUGUCGCCGCACGUCACCAGGCGAAGCACGAGGACGAAGAGCGUGAGCGCACGCUAGGCGGCGAUCCGUCACCACAUCGCCCGGUGAAGUAGGGAGGGUCCCUGAACCACCACACGAGGACAGCGGAGAACGUUAGUCCCGGCCGGAGUCAACCCUAAGGCCGGAGCUUCCUGUCCGGUUGCGAGCACCUGACAGCCGCGGAACCGGGAAAAGUCCAGAACCGGCCCGAGCCACCCCGUAAGGCCGAGUCCCGCAUUCCGGUCAGCUGUUCAUCAGCUGACGGCCACGUGUCGUCCCUGAGCUGAGCAACCAGCCCAAGUAGCAGAGAACAACAGCAGCAACAAGAUCAUCAUUCGGUGAGUCCGUUCUAUUUGCACUUGUGGGAAGAAGCACGUCCCUAGCUGACGUAGCGAAGUUUUUGCCGGCCUAGUGCCGAGGCGGCAGACGCGAAUCCGCCCUUGACGGACGCGUCCAAAGUUUGAGGAGCGAACUUUAAUCCCACGUGUUUCGACGUCACACGUGGAUGACCCCCAAAAUCUAAACGCGCG